This 942-nucleotide ribosomal RNA is filed under the name Triticum aestivum (bread wheat). Its description in RNAcentral is "partial small subunit ribosomal RNA". The record is from RNAcentral. Lineage: Eukaryota; Viridiplantae; Streptophyta; Magnoliopsida; Poales; Poaceae.
AUGCUUUCACAACUUGACUUCAAAAUAUUUGGUUUGGAGACCAUCAAAGAUCAAUAUGUGCAUGAUGCUGAUUUUAAAGAUGUAAUGCAGAAUUGUAAAGAAGGAAGAAUGUGGAACAAGUUCGUCGUUAACGGUGGAUUUGUGUUUCGUGCUAACAAGCUAUGCAUUCCAGCUAGCUCCGUUCGUCUUUUGUUGUUGCAGGAGGCGCAUGGAGGAGGAUUAAUGGGACACUUUGGCGUGAAGAAGACGGAGGACGUACUUGCUACACAUUUCUUUUGGCCAAAGAUGAGACGGGAUGUUGAGCGUUUUAUUGCUCGCUGCACUACAUGUCAAAAAGCUAAGUCACGACUCAAUCCUCAUGGUUUAUAUAUGCCGUUACCUGUACCUAGUGUUCCUUGGGAGGAUAUAUCUAUGGACUUUGUUUUAGGUUUACCUCGAACAAAGAAGGGGAGGGAUAGCAUAUUUGUUGUCGUGGAUAGAUUCUCGAAAAUGGCACACUUUAUACCAUGUCAUAAAAGCGAUGAUGCUGUUAAUGUUGCUGAUUUGUUCUUUCGUGAAAUUAUUCGCUUGCAUGGUGUGCCAAAUACUAUUGUUUCAGAUCGUGAUACUAAAUUUCUUAGCCACUUUUGGAGAUGUUUAUGGGCUAAGUUGGGGACUAAACUGCUUUUUAGUACUACUUGUCACCCCCAAACUGAUGGACAAACUGAAGUAGUCAAUAGAACGUUGUCUACUAUGCUUAGGGCUGUUUUGAAGAAUAAUAAGAAAAUAUGGGAGGAAUCCUUGCCUCAUAUUGAAUUUGCUUAUAAUCUUCAUUGCAUUCUACUACUAAGAUGUGCCCUUUUGAAGUUGUGUAUGGUUUCCUACCUCGUGCACCUAUUGAUUUGUUGCCUCUUCCAUCUUCGGAGAAGGUUAAUUUUGAUGCUAAACAACGUGCUGAAUUGA